AGAGGCUUCUGGUGUAACUGAAGCCCCCGGGACCAAAACAACAGGUGCUCCUGGUGUGACUGAAGCUCCUGGAGCCAAACCAACAGCCGUGACAGCUGCCCCGGGUGGCGGCCAAACAGAAGAAUGGAUGAACGUUGGAAGCUGUGGGCAAGGACUCACCUGUGGCCCAGACUGUCAGCUUCUAUGCCUCAAAUUACACAAUUACUAUCGAAAACUACACGACGCUCCGCCCAUGUCGUGUGAUCCAGAACUGGCCAAGUCAGCCCAAGAAUGGACCGACGAACAAGCACGAGCAGGCAACAUGCACCAUUCAGA
This is a long non-coding RNA of Actinia tenebrosa (Australian red waratah sea anemone), 315 nucleotides long. Lineage: Eukaryota; Metazoa; Cnidaria; Anthozoa; Actiniaria; Actiniidae. The record is from RefSeq and is a predicted model, not a curated record.